UAGGGAAUAUUGGUAAUCUGGGAAACCGGGAACCAGCAACGCCGCGUGUGCGAAGAAGGCCUUCGGGUUGUAAAGCACUUUUUAAGGGGAUGAGGAAGGACAGUACCCUUAGAAUAAGCCUCGGCUAACUACGUGCCAGCAGCCGCGGUAACACGUAGGAGGCAAGCGUUAUUCGGAUUUACUGGGCGUAAAGCGCGUGCAGGCGGUUUGGUAAGUUGGAUGUGAAAGCUCCCGGCCUAACUGGGAGAGGUCGUUCAAUACUACCAGACUAGAGGAUGGGAGAGGGAGGUGGAAUUCCGGGUGUAGUGGUGAAAUGCGUAGAUAUCCGGAGGAACACCAGUGGCGAAAGCGGCCUCCUGGCCCAUUUCUGACGCUCAGACGCGAAAGCUAGGGUAGCAAACG
Molecule: ribosomal RNA, 402 nt
Filed under: uncultured prokaryote
Description: bacterial SSU rRNA
Rfam family: Bacterial small subunit ribosomal RNA
Source: RNAcentral